This 253-nucleotide ribosomal RNA is filed under the name uncultured bacterium. RNAcentral describes it as "partial 16S ribosomal RNA". It matches the Rfam family "Bacterial small subunit ribosomal RNA", at positions 524 to 776 of the family's 1533-position model. The record is from RNAcentral.
UACAGAGGGGGCAAGCGUUGUUCGGAAUUACUGGGCGUAAAGGGCGCGUAGGCGGCCUGCUAAGUCGAACGUGAAAUCCCUGGGCUCAACCCAGGAACUGCGUCCGAUACUGGUUGGCUUGAAUCCGGGAGAGGGACGUGGAAUUCCAGGUGUAGCGGUGAAAUGCGUAGAUAUCUGGAGGAACACCGGUGGCGAAGGCGGCAUUCUGGACUGCAACUGACACUGAAGAACGAAAGCCAGGGGAGCAAACGGG